This 302-nucleotide long non-coding RNA is filed under the name Arabidopsis lyrata. Its description in RNAcentral is "long non-coding RNA (ALYR_LNC001629)". Lineage: Eukaryota; Viridiplantae; Streptophyta; Magnoliopsida; Brassicales; Brassicaceae. The record is from RNAcentral.
AAUGAGAAAGAAGUUCAAAAUCCAUAUAGUGGUAACUAGAAACGUUCAAUGAGAGCAGUUGCAACAUAAUCCUGAAAAAGAUAAAGAAAACAAUUGUCAAAACAAAAUAUAAAAGUAGGGAAUCUAUACUUAAGUUUUAAACUAGUAGUCAGAUCACGAUCACAAACCUUAUAUUGCUACAUCACAUGUUACUCGAUUAUGACCUUUUUUACCACAACGGCCGCACUUGUGCUUUUUUGAUAAUUGUGACUGUUGUGAUGCUUUUAUCUUGUCUUCAGCUGAUUCAUAUCUUCGUUUUCUUC